GUGCCAGCAGCCGCGGUAAGACGAACCGUGCGAACGUUGUUCGGAUUCACUGGGCUUAAAGGGCGCGUAGGCGGGCAUUCAAGUCAGGGGUGAAAGCCCCCGGCCCAACCGGGGAAGUGCCUCUGAGACUGAGUGUCUCGAGGGGGGUAGGGGCAGUUGGAACUCUCGGUGGAGCGGUGAAAUGCGUAGAUAUCGGGAGGAACGCCGGUGGCGAAAGCGGGCUGCUGGACCCCUUCUGACGCUGAGGCGCGAAAGCCAGGGGAGCGAACGGGAUUAGAUACCCGCGUAGUCC
RNAcentral lists this ribosomal RNA (292 nucleotides) under uncultured bacterium. RNAcentral's name for it is "partial 16S ribosomal RNA". It matches the Rfam family "Bacterial small subunit ribosomal RNA", at positions 505 to 796 of the family's 1533-position model. The record is from RNAcentral.